Daphnia pulicaria is the source of this 333-nucleotide long non-coding RNA. RefSeq lists it as uncharacterized. Lineage: Eukaryota; Metazoa; Arthropoda; Branchiopoda; Diplostraca; Daphniidae. The record is from RefSeq and is a predicted model, not a curated record. The transcript has 3 exons.
UCAACUAGGCUACAUACUACAAGGCAACAGCCAAUGUUACGAUAUGGCCAUUGAUAAUUGGAGAGCAGCAUUGGAAUGUGACAGGUUGUCUGGGUUAAAAGCCCUACUAAAUAGAUUCCUUUGGGGAAACUUUGUCUGCUCCUAAGUUACACAGUACACAUAAGCUACUUUAAAAAAUAAAAACAAAUUCAGAUUAGGAUUUCGAGGAGAUUUCAGCUGAAGUUGAUCUGAGUGCAGACUUAGGGCUUGUGAAAACAGAGAUCAAACGGGACAAUCCAAUAAUGCAAGAUAUGUCUUCCUAAAAUAAAAGGUCUGUAUUUGCAAGGUACUUCU